RNAcentral lists this long non-coding RNA (212 nucleotides) under Hordeum vulgare. Its description in RNAcentral is "long non-coding RNA (HVUL_LNC012277)". Lineage: Eukaryota; Viridiplantae; Streptophyta; Magnoliopsida; Poales; Poaceae. The record is from RNAcentral.
AGUAGUAGUAGUAAUAGUAGUAGUAGUAGUAGUAGUAGUAGUAGUAGUAGUAGUAGUAGUAGAAGAAGAAGAAGAAGAAGAAGAACAAGAACAAGAUUGCAAGAAGAAGAAGAAGAAGAAGUAUAAGAAGAAGAAGAAGUAUAAGAAGAAGAAGAAGACUAGAAGAAGAAGAAGAAGAAGAAGAAGAAAGAGAAGGAAAAUAAUAAGAAGAA